GUGAAUAUGCCCUUAAUGGGACUAGGAUCUUGGCAGCUGUAAUCAAAUUAAGAUUAGGUCAUACUGGAUUAUGGUGGGCCCCAACCCAAUGACCCAUGUCCCCAUAAAAUGAGGGAAAUUCGGACAUAGGCACCCGGAGAGGAGAAUGCCACGUUAAGAGAGAGAGACACACAGGGAAGACAGGCAUGGGAAAAGGAGGGAUGUAUCAGUAUGAGGAAUCCGCAAAUCAAAGAUUGUAAGCAUUGCCAGCAAUCUCCAGAAGUUAGGAAGAGGCAAGGCAAGAUAAUUCUCUAGAAGCUUCAAGGGGAGCAUGGCCCUGCCCAUGCUUUGAUUUUGGACUUCUGGCCUCCAGAACUGUGAGAGAAGACAUUUCUGCUGUUUCAAGCCACUCUUUUUGUGGUACUUUGUUAUGUCAGCCCUAGGAAACCAAUAGAGUAGGUGAUGAAUAAAUGUCUGCUGAGUGAUUAAAUGAGCGAAUGGAGAAAUGAACGAGUGAAUGAAUGAAAACACCAAGUCCAAAGGGGUUCAGAGGCGGGCUGUGGGUGAACUCAGAUGCACUGAGACAGCGCAGAGGCAGCGUCUGUGAAGGAGGCAGGUCCUGAGAGCUCACUGAGAGUGACACUGGGACACCUGCCCCUUUUCUUUCUCAACCGCCCACUCAUAAUCUUACAAGAAGGUCAGCCCCAGGGCAGAAGAUGCAGAGAUGUAGAAUUAUGCAAUAUUGGGCGUGACAGUGGCUCUGCUACCUUAGGCUGUGUGGGGAAGAAGUUUCCCAUGUCAUGUUUGGAACUCUCAAGGCAGAAUCGCCACAUGAGUGACACAGGGUAAUUGUUGCUGUGGGCUAGGGCGUGGCGAUGAUUGUUGCUGGCCCGGGCGUUAUGGCCGAGGGUGAGUGGACAGGACUCAGGGACAAACAAGGGUCUGAUCCACCCUCAAAAAGCACUAAGAGCAGACAAGGAAGGCCCAGAAAUUGGCGAGGCUGGUGUGGGCUGGCUAUGCUAUGAGGUGAAUAUGGCCAUUCCCUUCACAAGAGGAGAACAUGGAGGUCAAAUUGUCCGCCGCAGGUCACUCAGCCAGUGAAGCAUAAAGCUGUAAUUUGAACCCACACUCGUCUGACUCCAAGUAGCUCUUGACCAUCAACACAAUAUGUGGGAAAUGUUCUGUCUUACGGAACUUUGGAGCCUUUGUUCUCAAAGCAAAGCUGAAGAUCAAGACCACCUCCCAGGCCGUCAGGUGAGAUGAUGCACCUGCAGUAACCCUCAACGGGGGUGAGAGUCCUACAGUUCCUAUAAUAACCCUGUGCCUUGGUGCCUCGGCCACAGUUGAGCAUCCAGAGGGAUCACCUGAACCAGGCCAGGGCCAUCGCCUCCCCUGGUAGGGAACUUGAACCUUGAAGAGAACAAGUCAGGUGCUAAGAAUGGCUGUGCUGAGCCCCUCUGCGGGCAGCGCUCUGGAAGGAGCCUGGACAGCUGAGGCUUCCAACCUGGCCAUUUGCCUGUUUCCUCUUGGACCUUCCCUCCUGUGCCACAUGGCAGGGAACUGCGCAUGGCAGCCUCCGUCACCCGCGGCCUCUGGGUGCCUCCCGACAGUGGGAAGCACUGGCAGAAGACCGGUGAGCAGAAGGAAGGAAGAGUCCAGGCAUUUUGCCCCACUUCCUGUUUCUGUGAUGUCCUCAGCCAUGGCCUUGUGUCUCGUGUCGCCAGUUUCAGUGCCAAUGAAGAGUAACCCUCUCACCCCGUUGUCCCAGCGUCUGACGGGACAGCCCCACCAUGGUUCUGGCUUCUGCUGCAGUGUCCCCACUUCUGAUUUUGAAUAUCAGCACCUCUCCCCAUUUUUCCGGGAGAGGCCGACUUCCUGCUAUUGCUGAUGUGGGCGGCCUCAUGGUCCUCUGGACUCUAAGCUAUUCCGUCACUCGAAUUACCACUUCCCUGUAUCAAAUACCAAAAGUAAACUACUUUUCUACUACUCUCUGCUCUCCAUACUCUG
Long non-coding RNA from Equus caballus (horse), 1986 nucleotides. The record is from Ensembl. NCBI's taxonomy places the organism in Eukaryota, Metazoa, Chordata, Mammalia, Perissodactyla, Equidae.